This 429-nucleotide ribosomal RNA is filed under the name uncultured bacterium. RNAcentral's name for it is "partial 16S ribosomal RNA". It matches the Rfam family "Bacterial small subunit ribosomal RNA", at positions 29 to 507 of the family's 1533-position model. The record is from RNAcentral.
ACGAACGCUGGCGGCAGGCCUAACACAUGCAAGUCGCACGCCCCGCAAGGGGAGUGGCAGACGGGUGAGUAACACGUGGGAACCUUCCCUAUAGUACGGAAUAGCCCAGGGAAACUUGGAGUAAUACCGUAUACGCCCGAAAGGGGAAAGAAUUUCGCUAUAGGAUGGGCCCGCGUAGGAUUAGCUAGUUGGUGAGGUAAUGGCUCACCAAGGCGACGAUCCUUAGCUGGUUUGAGAGAACGACCAGCCACACUGGGACUGAGACACGGCCCAGACUCCUACGGGAGGCAGCAGUGGGGAAUAUUGGACAAUGGGCGCAAGCCUGAUCCAGCCAUGCCGCGUGAGUGAUGAAGGCCUUAGGGUUGUAAAGCUCUUUUGGCGGGGACGAUAAUGACGGUACCCGCAGAAUAAGUCCCGGCUAACUUCGUG